RNAcentral lists this non-coding RNA (27 nucleotides) under Cricetulus griseus (Chinese hamster). The record is from RNAcentral. Lineage: Eukaryota; Metazoa; Chordata; Mammalia; Rodentia; Cricetidae.
GAAGUUAAUGUGGAACUGAGGAAAGCG